Molecule: ribosomal RNA, 700 nt
Filed under: uncultured bacterium
Lineage: Bacteria
Description: bacterial SSU rRNA
Rfam family: Bacterial small subunit ribosomal RNA
Source: RNAcentral
UGCAGUCGAGCGAUGAAGUUUCUUCGGAAAUGGAUUAGCGGCGAACGGGUGAGGAACACGUGAAGAAUCUGCCCUCCACUUUGGGAUAACACCGGGAAACCGGUGCUAAUACCGAAUAUUGAAACAUAAGUGGCAUCACUGAGUUUUGAAAGAAUUUCGGUGGAGGAUGACUUCGCGGCCUAUCAGCUAGUUGGUGAGGUAAUGGCUCACCAAGGCAACGACGGGUAGCCGGCCUGAGAGGGCGACCGGCCACACUGGGACUGAGACACGGCCCAGACUCCUACGGGAGGCAGCAGUGGGGAAUAUUGGGCAAUGGAGGAAACUCUGACCCAGCGACGCCGCGUGCGGGAUGAAGGCCUUCGGGUUGUAAACCGCUUUCAGUAGGGAAGAAGCGAAAGUGACGGUACCUACAAAGGAAGCACCGGCUAACUAUGUGCCAGCAGCCGCGGUAAUACAUAGGGUGCAAGCGUUGUCCGGAAUUAUUGGGCGUAAAGAGCUCGUAGGUCGUUUGUUACGUCGGAUGUGAAAACCUGAGGCUCAACCUCAGGCCUGCAUUCGAUACGGGCAAACUAGAGUUUGGUAGGGGAGACUGGAAUUCCUGGUGUAGCGGUGGAAUGCGCAGAUAUCAGGAGGAACACCAAUGGCGAAGGCAGGUCUCUGGGCCAGUACUGACACUAAGGAGCGAAAGUCUGGGGAGCGA